UACAGAGGGGGCAAGCGUUAUUCACAUUGAUUAGGCGUAAAGGGUGCGUAGGCGGGCUUAUAAGUCAGUGCUGAAAUAUCCCGGCUUAACCGGGAGGGUGGCAUUGAUACUGUAGGACUUGAGUAAAGUUGAGGUUGGCGGAAUUGACGGUGUAGCGGUGAAAUGCUUAGAUAUCGUCAAGAACACCUAUAGCGAAGGCAGCUAACUAAACUUUAACUGACGCUGAGGCACGAAAGUGUGGGGAUCAAACAGG
Molecule: ribosomal RNA, 253 nt
Filed under: uncultured bacterium
Lineage: Bacteria
Description: partial 16S ribosomal RNA
Rfam family: Bacterial small subunit ribosomal RNA
Source: RNAcentral